CACGUAGGGGGCGAGCGUUGUCCGGAUUUAUUGGGCGUAAAGAGCUCGUAGGUGGCUCGGUAAGUCGGGUGUGAAAUUUCGAGGCUCAACCUCGAAACGCCACCUGAUACUGCUGUGGCUAGAGUCCGGUAGGGGAGCGUGGAAUUCCUGGUGUAGCGGUGAAAUGCGCAGAUAUCAGGAGGAACACCAGCGGCGAAGGCGGCGCUCUGGGCCGGUACUGACACUGAGGAGCGAAAGCGUGGGGAGCGAACAGG
This 254-nucleotide ribosomal RNA is filed under the name uncultured bacterium. RNAcentral describes it as "partial 16S ribosomal RNA". It matches the Rfam family "Bacterial small subunit ribosomal RNA", at positions 524 to 776 of the family's 1533-position model. The record is from RNAcentral.